UGCAUUGGAUUCUAGUCCAAAUGCAAUAAUCGAUUCCGACUCAAUCGGUUGGUCCAUUUGAGUGAGCUGUAAUCAAUUCAGAAUCUAUUUUAGAUUCCAAAUCGGUUCAGGAAUAGCUUAAAGAUAGAAUCGGAAAGAUCGAGUUAAACAACGAUUUUUGAAGUAAACGGAUCCAUUUUGAAAGAAUCGCAUCCCCCAAAAAAAUCCUCCCGAUGUUUACAUAAACUAAAUCGGUGGUGAUUGUAGUAUCUCCUUAGAAAAUUCUUACUUCGAAAAUAAUUACUUUCCUUGACAUGUUCAUUUUACCACUCCUACUAAGUAAUGAUAAUAUACCUGAAAUUGCAUGGGAAUUCCGUCGUUACUCGCCUUACCUGAUAAAAGAGAUUAUAGGUCGCAUGUCGCUGCUAACACUGAAAAUUUAUCAUCUCACUCUCACAUAUGUUAGGUCCAUUAGUUUGACACCUAUUACCCCGGGUAUACACCUGUCAAAGUAAUGGAAUUCAAUAUGCUAGAGCGAGACCCCAUGUUUCAGUCCGUGAAUGCAUGGAGACAGUAGCGCUUUGCUCCCUCUAGUAGUUAUAAUCUCUUUUUACCUGAUGGAUUGGAAUAAGAUCGAUUUUUUGGAAUAUAAAGAUCGAUUUUGAAAACAUCGCAUCGAUAUCGCCCAUUCCUAGAGACAAAUCCUUCUGGCGGUGACGACUUUCCAAAUGUGCAUUCUGCGUAGACUUCAUUUUGUGAACCGUCAGCUCGCUUUAUUGAAGCGCUUUUUAUUUAAAUAAUUAAAUUUGUUUUACGCCACGCAGCGGAAUUAAAUACAGUGUUCAGUGUCGGUGGUGUUGAAGAAAAUUGUCGGUGUUGUUAAAGAUAACUAUCGUUUAGAUCAUCAGCGAAUUACAGUGUGUACAAUGGAUGCAGUCUUCGAGGAUUUUAUAUCUGAAGAAAUCGCCUUGGAUGAAGACUGUACAGAGCAAUCACUAGUGGACACUCUUCUUCAAAACAAUGGAUUAGAAUGUUUAAUCCCCAGUGUGCACGAGCAAGAACUGGAUGAUGUGGAUUUGUUCGUUCGACUAACGGAGAGAGAGAUGGAGAUUUUAACUGCUGGAUAUACAUUGGGUGUGAAAGUUCGUCUACGAUUGUGCAUUGAGGCGGUGAGUUCAAAUAUUCGGUUAAUUUAUGCGACAUACACCCUUAUUAUUGUUUGGGAUAAAUACGAGAUUCGUUCGAAAGCGGUUCGAACGAAUAGUUAACCCAUUCGACUAUGCUCUCGUAAACGAACAGUCCAACCACUUUCAUUCGAAUCUUGCAUUUGUUGUAAACAAGAAUAAGAAGUGGCAUAGUUUCUUAAGAAAACUUUUAACUUCAAAUAAAAUCAUGAAAAAACA
Topomyia yanbarensis is the source of this 1382-nucleotide long non-coding RNA. RefSeq lists it as uncharacterized. The record is from RefSeq and is a predicted model, not a curated record. Lineage: Eukaryota; Metazoa; Arthropoda; Insecta; Diptera; Culicidae. The transcript is spliced from 2 exons.